GAUGAACGCUGGCGGCGUGCCUAAUACAUGCAAGUCGAGCGAACAGAUGAGGAGCUUGCUCCUCUGACGUUAGCGGCGGACGGGUGAGUAACACGUGGAUAACCUACCUAUAAGACUGGGAUAACUUCGGGAAACGGGCGCAAAUCCGGGAUAAUCUAUUGAACCGCAUGGUUCAUUGGUAAAAUACGGUUUUGCUGUAACUAAUAGAUGGUUCCGCGCCGAAUUAGCUGGUUGGUAAGGUAACGGCUUACCACGGCAACGAUGCGUAGCCGACCUGCGAGGGUGAUCGGCCACACUGGAACUGAAACACGGUCCAGACUCCUACGGGAGGCAGCAGUAGGGAAUCUUCCGCAAUGGGCGAAAGCCUGACGGAGCAACGCCGCGUGAGUGAUGGAGGUCUUCGGAUCGUAAAACUCUGUUAUUAGGGAAGAACAAAUGUGUAAGUAACUAUGCACGUCUUGACGGUACCUAAUCAGAAAGCCACGGCUAACUACGUG
RNAcentral lists this ribosomal RNA (497 nucleotides) under uncultured bacterium. Its description in RNAcentral is "partial 16S ribosomal RNA". It matches the Rfam family "Bacterial small subunit ribosomal RNA", at positions 28 to 507 of the family's 1533-position model. The record is from RNAcentral.